RNAcentral lists this ribosomal RNA (442 nucleotides) under uncultured bacterium. RNAcentral describes it as "partial 16S ribosomal RNA". It matches the Rfam family "Bacterial small subunit ribosomal RNA", at positions 338 to 795 of the family's 1533-position model. The record is from RNAcentral.
CCUACGGGUGGCAGCAGUGGGGAAUAUUGGGCAAUGGGCGCAAGCCUGACCCAGCAACGCCGCGUGAAGGAAGAAGGCUUUCGGGUUGUAAACUUCUUUUCUGGGGGACGAACAAAUGACGGUACCCCUGGAAUAAGCCACGGCUAACUACGUGCCAGCAGCCGCGGUAAUACGUAGGUGGCAAGCGUUAUCCGGAUUUAUUGGGUGUAAAGGGCGUGUAGGCGGGAAUGCAAGUCAGAUGUGACAACUGAGGGCUCAACCCUCGGACUGCAUUUGAAACUGUUUGUCUUGAGUGAUGGAGAGGCAGGCGGAAUUCCGGGUGUAGCGGUGAAAUGCGUAGAUAUAAGGAGGAACACCAGUGGCGAAGGCGGAUUGCUGGACGGUAACUGACGCUGAGGCGCGAAAGCGUGGGGAGCAAACAGGAUUAGAUACCCGAGUAGUC